RNAcentral lists this ribosomal RNA (311 nucleotides) under Otiothops birabeni. RNAcentral's name for it is "partial 12S ribosomal RNA". Lineage: Eukaryota; Metazoa; Arthropoda; Arachnida; Araneae; Palpimanidae. The record is from RNAcentral.
AGGUAGUAAAAUUAUCCAAACCUAUAUAAACUGGCGGCAUAUAUUCAUAUUAGAGGAAUCUGUUUUUUAAUCGAUAAUCCACGAUAAUAUUCACUUAUUUUACAAGUUUGUAUACCGCCGUUUUAAGAAUUUUUUCCAAUAAUAUUUUCCUAAAAAUAUUCUAAAAAAUUAGGUCAAGGUGCAUCUUAUAAAUAAGAUAAAAUGGAUUACAAUAAAUAUUAUUUAAGGACUUUAAAUUUACAUUUAUUCAAAAAAGGAUUUAAUAGUAAUCUUUUAAUAUUAUUUUAAUUUAAAUUCGUAAAAAUAUGUGC